Molecule: long non-coding RNA, 1606 nt
Filed under: Helianthus annuus (common sunflower)
Lineage: Eukaryota; Viridiplantae; Streptophyta; Magnoliopsida; Asterales; Asteraceae
Description: hypothetical non coding rna
Source: RNAcentral
UCAGAGAGAGAGAGAAAGCCGCCGGCAAAGGAGGAAGCUGACCUCCGGUGACCGGCCUUGGGUCCAUGAAACUUCGGCGAGUCAGAUCUGUCGUGCAUAUCCCGUUUUGGUGUAACUCCUACCUAUUGCUUCACUGCUCCGGCAACUGAUGAAGGAUUACGGUGGUUUUGGUUUUGAGCUGGUGGUUGAUGAUGAUGGGUUUUUGUUGCUCGCCGAGUGAAACGGGUAGAGGUGAUUCCAACAAGUGGGAUUGUCACAAUUGAUGGGUUUUUGCAGCUGAAAGCAAUUGGGGGUAGUAAUCACCGGUAGCUGAGACGACUGCCGGCGGCAGAAACGACUCCGACAGUCGGACACUGGUCAAGAGAGGAGAGAACCCUCUCGAUUUCAACUUCAACUUCCAAGUUUGGGAUCUCUAAUCUUUUCUCAUCAAAAACUUCCGGUGAGUGAAGGUUUUUGGCAUUUUGAUUAUGAACCAUUGUUGCUGCAACUCUGCAAGGGACACUUUGGGGACACUUUGGGUCAGGUAGUCAUCUUUGGUAGUUGGAGCUUUGGUUCUUAAAGUGUAAGGCUUGAUUCACAUAGGAGAGACACUCUCAGUGCAAUUGUACAUCAAAUACAUAAUUCCAUUCUUAUUUAUGUUGAUGCGGAGGCUUAACGAUUUACGCCAUCCCGCAGGUCGGUAUUAAUUCGAGUUCAUCUACGUUUCACGUCAUGUGAGUCACUUGAUCGUUUUUCCGGUUUUGAUCAUCGUUGGGUUUCUAUUUAGCAUGUUUUUUCGCCCCCACCUCUAAUUGCACAGUUUUACGCCCCCCGCCCCGCAACGCGGGGGGCUCAAUUCUAGUUCAUAAACAUUACCCGUAGCUGAAUUCCAGAUAAAAACGCCAAUUUUCCACUUCACGAGGGUCAACCUUAUUUAUUUGCAUUCAUACCAUAGAGAGUUGCCAUAAAUGAAAAAUAUGAAAUGAAAAAUAAAAAAAAAAAAAAAACCGUCAUGGGCAUGCCUUAUUUCAUGGCUCAAGAGUUUACCAACAUAUUGUAGAAAAAAGUACAUCACAAGAUAGUUAUGUCCCAAGACCUGACCAGAUAGUGUGGUAACUGUGCAUUGCAGUAAAACAGCCAAUUAGAGACCCAAAAAGAUAUAAACUUUAAUGGAUAUUCUGAAUUACAAGAUAAACUACUAGGGAGGUUAAAUUUUCUCAUUUUGCAAAGUGAUAACACAAGGUUAACAUGAAAUUCGCUCCACCAAACGCAAGCAUCUGAUCUAUUAUCGAUUGGAGCUCAUAUCCAAUGAUGAUUCGAUAUCAAUUCACAUAAUCAGUUUCAAGCGCACAACUAAAUCUCCCCUAAUGCUAGCCUUUUGCUUUGAUAUUGGUAGAAGUACUCGUUAAAGAUAUCGCAAAUCCAACAUUUUUGGGUGUACUUCCCACACUCAGCAUUGUUACACUUUCUUAUUGAUUUACUGUUAAAAAUAUUCGUAUUUAUCCGGUAUAAACGUGCCUUUUUAUAUUUCCUUUAUUUAUUUUUAUUUAUUUCCUUUUAUUUAUUUUUAUUUAUUUUUAACCUUUUUAUUUAUCUUUGGUUGUGAGGUUUGGUCUAUCAAGUUUGG